This is a long non-coding RNA of Larimichthys crocea (large yellow croaker), 2155 nucleotides long. RefSeq lists it as uncharacterized. NCBI's taxonomy places the organism in Eukaryota, Metazoa, Chordata, Actinopteri, Sciaenidae. The transcript has 3 exons. The record is from RefSeq and is a predicted model, not a curated record.
AACAAAACAGCCAAAAUGGUGGUUAGGAGAGAAGGGAUGUAGUAGUUUAGCCUGACACUAGGGGUCAGCAGGGCUAAGAGUAGGGGUGGAGCAGGAGUAGAAACUAAGAUGGAAAAAAACAAAGAGCCAAUAGAAAAAUACACUUUCACAGUAUACACUCGUGCUAUUUACACCUCUUUGAGAAGUGUUUGUCACAUAAACACAGGAAAUUAGCUGACUUUCCAUGAUGAUUUCACAAAUGAGCUCCGCUGCAAUAAAUCAGUACUGGCACAUUCAGUUCUGCAUGACCGCAUGUCACCAUGGUAUCAUCAAUCAUUACAGUGGUCAAUUUGAGAGCCAUUAUAGCGCAAGUACACAGCUUGACUAUGGCAAAGUCCAACAUCUGCGUGUCAUAAACAUGCAAAUUUAAUACAAGUCAACAAACUGCCAUUAUGAAAUUCAUUGUUACGGCUGCUGUUUAUGUCCAGACAAAAAUUACUGCUUCAGAUGAAUGGCUUUAUUAUCAGUGAACAUUAUAAAAUGAAUUGGAGCAACUGUUUCCGCUUGGUUGCUGACUCACAGACCUACUGGUGACCCUCUUGUAUGGGUCAGAUGAGACAUUAAUAAUCAGAAGACCUUAGAGGAGAGCACAGCACCUGGCCUGUUAAUACAUUCAGUACAUGUAUGAACCUCACUUCAACUCUAAGACUGUUCCAGCCAUUCAGCAGCACAUGGUAGGGUUAUCACAGGAACAUCAGAAACAGACGAAAAGGAAGAACAAAGCCUAUGCCUGCUCAGGAAGGCGUCAUGAGCCCAUUUCGUGGCGAUACACCAAGGCAUCGCAGAGAUAUUGGCCCACUUCCUGUUUGGUGGCUUCGCCGCCGAUUUGGAUUGGCUGUUAUGGCAAAAGAGUUUGGAGUUCAGACAUGAAACUUCAACCAUCAGCCAGACACGGUCUGAAGACCAUAUCCAUCAAGUUUCAUGUAAAUCAGACAAAGUGUGUGCCCUCUGUAAUCAUAAACGUGUUUUUGACUAAAUUCAAAAUCUUUAUGCAUGUAUUACACAGUCCUUUACCAAGUGUACUGGGAUGUCUCAGAGUAUCAGUCAACACUGGAAUGAAGGUUAAAGUCCAAAGCAAUAUGAAGAUAUAAGAAAAAAUGCAUUUUGGCUACUUAUAGCGCCACCUAAAGGUCAAAGGUCACCAAAAUGAUUGGGCCUCUCAAAGAAGUGGUCACGAGUCUGUCUUAGAAGUUUGAAGUCGAAACAUCAAACGAUUGCCGAGAUAUGGCCUCUCUUCCUGUUUGGCGGCGUCACCGGUGAGUUUGAUUGGCUGCUACGGACAAACGGAAGUGAAAUUACAAAAUCCACAUGAUAACUUUUGUGCAGCUUGGUCUGAAGACUAUGUGUCAAGUCUCAUGGAAAUUGGACAAUCUGUGUGACCUGAUGCUUUUUGAAGGUUUUUGAUAAAAUUCAAAAUGGCAGAAAAUCCAAUAUGGCGCAAAUUAACGUCAUAGAGUGCGUUGAACUCGUCUUGAUCAGCAUGGCGUUCUAAGGGCUGCCAUAGACUUCAAUUGCAGCGGAAAGUAGAUCAAUAAUAAUAAUAAUAAUAAUAAUAAUAAUAUAAGAAUAAUAAUAAUAAUAAAAUUAGGAAAAGCUACAAACACAAUGGUUGCCUUUGCAGGCUACGCUGCUAGGCACCCAAUAAGAACUCUAAUAUAUUUAUUUCUAAAUGUAAUUCCUGCAGGACAGAGACACUUAUUCAGCUGAGCACAACUUCCCUGAACAGUAUCAAAUCAGCUGAUACACAGCUGUUAACUUAGUCAAGACGCUGGUUAAGACACACAUUUAAUCCAACAGGCGUGCAAACAUCAGCUGAUACCAGAGACGUAACAGUGACAGCAGACCUGAAGAAAGUGGUAGUGAUGUAAGAGAAGUUUGAAAAGAGUCUAGACUGCUUCCAUCCAGACUGUCUCCACUAACACCUCAGUGAGGCCAGCUGAUGGCAAAUGGUGGAAGAGUCGUAAAGUUGAUGGGAGACCUGAGAGAAUGAACCUUCUGUCAGGAGCAGGGCACCAGCGGCAGUCGGGCUCAGCCACCAGCCACCUCCUGAGCAUGAACUCUUCAUACUUCUCCAUGAGUGCCCGGUCCCCCAGGAUCAUCUGGAUGUCGUGGGGGU